CCGCCGUUCUUCUCCUCCUCAUCCCCAUCUUCCACGGGGCGCUCAAUUAUCUUCAACCUUGAAUCAGGCUCAUGCUGUGCUUCCUGCGCCAUGAAUCGAGGGAAUCGAUCGACCAGGAGGGAGAAAAUCAGAUUUAGGGUUUGGGACACCUUUUUUGUACCAAAUUGAAGUAUACUGCCCGGAAUUCCAUUGGGCAAACUCAUGAGCACGGCGGAGGAAGAUGGCUGUUCACGGUGCGACCUGUGCGAUACAAAGGUCAUACACAGCAUGACAGAACUCCUGCUUCGUGGAUUGGCCGCAGCUUCGGUGGACAGCACCACUGGCGAUAUAUUCAAGAGCGCAUCUUCUGUAGCUGUCGCUGUGAAGACCGAGCUAGAAAAUUACCUGCUUGUGAGAACUGAAGCACUUAUUCGUGAAUCUGUGGAUGGAGGGGAAGAUCAUUCGGAUAAAUUAAUCAAGGCCUCCACCAGGCCGACCGAGUUCCUGUCGGACUUGAUCAAUGACUUUGUUGCUUCCAAAAGGAACGUGCUGAGCCACGUGUCUGGAUUUUUGUCGAGUGAAAGUCGAGUGAAUAAAAUUAACGAUUUUAUGCAAAAGAUGGAGAUGGAGAAUGUGUGGGCACUGGACGUAAGGAAGGCUUCUGCAGAGACUAUUCUUGAGAGCAUAGACAUAAAAUGCAUUUUUCAUUGCCCUGAGAGAUUUGUUGAGCAGGAUAAGCUAGCUGACCACAGAAGUCAGUGCAAAUUUAGGGUCGUGAACUGCAAAAACGAUGGGUGUUCAGCUUCAUUUUCUGCUAUUCAUAUUGAGGAGCAUGACUCCAUCUGUCCGUUUAAGCCCCUGCCAUGUGAUCAGCUGUGCGACCAACAUGUUAUGCGUUGUGAGAUGGACAAACAUUGUGCAACAGUUUGCCCUAUGAAGCUUAUUAAUUGCCCUUUUUACCAAGUUGGAUGUGAAACAGCCUUUCCACAGGGUAAUCUUGAUGAUCAUUGUUCAAAGUUGCUUCAAACCCAUAUGUUGUAUGUUCUCCAAGCAACUACAAGACAGAAUGCUACUGUUUAUGAUAUGAAUCAACGGUUACAACUCCUUGAGAAGGCUCAGUCACUUAACGAAAUGUCUGGGGCUUUAGAUGUCAGGUCCCUCACUCUGAUAAUAAAGGAGCAAGAAGCAAAGAUCAAAAAACUAGAGCGAGAUAUCAAAACACAAGACGCAAAGAUGAAGAGGCUUGAGAAUGAGUUUAGGUCAAGGAAUGCAUGAUAGCUGCUGUAAUUCUAUAUGCAUUAGACAAACCAGUUAUAUGUCAAUGCAGGGUAGAUCUUGUACUCGAAGAUGCUAGGAUGGUAUUGGUCUAAAAAAAUGGUCAUUUAGCUGCCGUGGUUGCAUUCUGUGCUGGUACGUGUGAUUCCUCACUCACUACAUCUUGCUGGAACUAUUGUUGUGCACUUGUGCUUCUAGCAUCCUAAGCUGCUCUUUACAGUGGAAGUUCUCUGACUUGUCUUGCCAAUCCCUUGGGUUAGCAAAUAUGUUUAGUUGACAAUUUUACAUUGCAUGAUGCAGCUCCCAGUUGAUUUAGGCAUUGAAGAAAGUUGUGAUUUAAAAUUGCACUUGCAUUACAUUUCAACAAAGUAAAAAAAACAAUUGUUUUCCUGUUCCUAUCUCAUUUGAUAAGCAUCCACCUUGUCACAAUUAUAUACUGUUUCUCAAUUAUUGGAAAAUUGUCACGAAUAAUUAGUAUAACAUUUCUAGAACAUUCCACAAACAUUUAAUUGCAGAGUAUAGCUCACAUAUUUUCCCCAGGUUAUUUUGUACACAGGAAUUUCCAGUUUUAAUAUAGCUUAUGUGUUAAAAAAACCGACUGACCCAAUUAAAAAAAGGGGAAACUGACUGACAUACUGCCAGGAACUGAUUGAUAUCAAUGAAUGAGAGAUUUCUGAUCUCUGUAUUCUUUUCUGAGAACCUUACUUUAUAUGAACUAGUUAAAAUCUAUUAACUUGCACCAAGUACUGCUGUAAGUCAAUUUGCACCAGUCCUUCAGAAGUUUGGACUUCCAUUUCUCUUUUGAAGUUUGUAUCUGUAAAAUGUAGUACAUACAAAUAUACCUAUUUUGUUCGAAAUGAAACAAUAAACUAGGUCACUACUAUGAUUAAUUUGUUAAUGUACUGAAUGGUGCAUCAUACUGAUUUGCUACUUUGAAGGAAUAUUCCAUGAUCUGAAGCCUCUUGUUUGUGUGGAUGCAAUUCCAUUGGUGGCUUUCCACCACAGCUUUUUUGGAUGCCUCCGCAACUUCAUCGUUGGCUUGGCUGUUUUCCAGCUUUGGGAUGUGAUCACAAGCACCCUGUAAAAUCUUGCAAACUUGUUUGCACUGCACUUGUAUAUGUGCAUGGCACUCUGUAUGUGAUUUUCAUAUGCAUGUUUUCACGGUGAAGAUGCCAUCACAAUCUCGUCACUGUCGUGGCUAUUUGACUCAGAUUUGAGGAAAUAAUCACAAGCAGCCUCCAAAAUCUUGCAAACUUCUCUCCUGUACUGCACCGGCAUACCAGAUCAUGUCAAGAAGAAACUAUCAAAUGGUGUUUUCUGAAAAGACCAGUACUGGUUUCUUUAUUUAAUCUUACACAAUUUUAACAAUCAUCGUAACUAGAUGGUUGUGUGGUGUGGAGAAACUUUGAGUCAUCAUAUUCCUAUCAGAUUCCUAAUUUGACAGAGAAAUUAGAAUUCAAGAAUCUAAAUUAUUGUCCUUCCAUUUUCUUGUUUUACGGAGCUGUGAAAUAUCAGUGAACCCUCAUGUUGCCGGUACAUAUUCUUUAGCUAGGAGACCAUAUCAAGGGUGGUGUUGCGUACCUCAUCAGUUGCACCAGAUUUUAUUCUGGACUGUAAUAUGCACCAUUUCUUCAUGUUUACCCCUAUGUGCACAAAAAUAAUGCAUAUUAUCGGAUAUAUGUUCUGCUGAAUAGAUUUUAUGGAAGUACAGUUCAACUAACCGAUCUUUAUAUUUACUUGACAUGUUGAACUGGAGGUUGUUCUUAGUGACCACCUGCAGUGGAUCUGUAAGAAAGGGAAGAACUUCUGCUAGAUAAGUCAUAUCAGAAUUAUGAAAUGGAUUAUACAUCAGAGGAAUUGGCCAAACAAAGUGGGAUGCUCACACUGGUUACAUCUGCAAGAACACGUUCGUUGAUGAAAGGCUGCAAUGUUGACUUUUCAAUGUUUUUUUGUGGUGUCUUUGUGCUGUCUGUCUUGCUACCGAGUAUGCUGUUACUUUCUUUUUGUAGAAGUACAUGUGCUCUCACCUGCUUGUGAGAUAACAAGCAUAACAUCAUGUUAUUUCCACAAGACAAAACGGAAAGAUAUGGGAUAAAACUGCAACACUUUCUAAA
This is an RNA transcript of Panicum virgatum (switchgrass), 3368 nucleotides long. It is a transcript of the gene named TNF receptor-associated factor family protein DDB_G0290965-like, with no coding region annotated. The transcript has 5 exons. Lineage: Eukaryota; Viridiplantae; Streptophyta; Magnoliopsida; Poales; Poaceae. The record is from RefSeq and is a predicted model, not a curated record.